GGCGGUGGAUGAUGUGGAUUAAUUCGAUGCAACGCGAAAAACCUUACCUACCCUUGACAUGUCCGGAAUCCGAAGAGAUUUGGGAGUGCUCGCAAGGAGAACCGGAACACAGGUGCUGCAUGGCUGUCGUCAGCUCGUGUCGUGAGAUGUUGGGUUAAGUCCCGCAACGAGCGCAACCCUUGUCAUUAGUUGCCAUCAUUUGGUUGGGCACUCUAAUGAGACUGCCGGUGACAAACCGGAGGAAGGUGGGGAUGACGUCAAGUCCUCAUGGCCCUUAUGGGUAGGGCUUCACACGUCAUACAAUGGUCGGUACAGAGGGUUGCCAACCCGCGAGGGGGAGCUAAUCCCACAAAGCCGAUCGUAGUCCGGAUCGCAGUCUGCAACUCGACUGCGUGAAGUCGGAAUCGCUAGUAAUCGUGGAUCAGCAUGUCACGGUGAAUACGUUCCCGGGUCUU
This 455-nucleotide ribosomal RNA is filed under the name uncultured Rhodocyclaceae bacterium. Its description in RNAcentral is "bacterial SSU rRNA". It matches the Rfam family "Bacterial small subunit ribosomal RNA", at positions 928 to 1382 of the family's 1533-position model. The record is from RNAcentral. Lineage: Bacteria; Pseudomonadati; Pseudomonadota; Betaproteobacteria; Rhodocyclales; Rhodocyclaceae.